Molecule: ribosomal RNA, 356 nt
Filed under: uncultured eukaryote
Lineage: Eukaryota
Description: SSU rRNA
Rfam family: Eukaryotic small subunit ribosomal RNA
Source: RNAcentral
CAAUAGCGUAUAUUAAAGUUGUUGCAGUUAAAAAGCUCGUAGUUGGAUUUCUGGGAGGGUGCCGAUGUCCGCUUAACGUGUGUGCAGCGGCGCCCUCUCAUCCUUCUGUUAGCGUCUCUUGGCAUUCAUUUGCUGGUGGCGGGCUCAGAUAUUUUACCUUGAGAAAAUUAGAGUGUUUCAGGCAGGCUAGGCCGGAAUACAUUAGCAUGGAAUAAUGGAAUAGGACUACGGUCUCUUUGUUGGUUUGAGGGACUGCAGUAAUGAUUAAUAGGGACAGUUGGGGGCAUUCGUACUUGUAAGUCAGAGGUGAAAUUCUUCGAUUUUACAAAGACGAACUAAUGCGAAGGCAUCUGCCA